GCGCUUUACAUUUGUAACUCAGUAUGAAGAAUAUAAUAAACAAUACUUGGUGGUGGAACUCUCUUAUCUAAUAAGUGAGAACUAAACCUAUAUAAAUAAAAUAUAAAAAAGGCUUAUC
Regulatory RNA element from Polaribacter reichenbachii, 118 nucleotides. It matches the Rfam family "Bacteroidete tryptophan peptide leader RNA". The record is from Rfam. NCBI's taxonomy places the organism in Bacteria, Pseudomonadati, Bacteroidota, Flavobacteriia, Flavobacteriales, Flavobacteriaceae.